This 820-nucleotide long non-coding RNA is filed under the name Bos indicus x Bos taurus (hybrid cattle). RNAcentral describes it as "lncRNA (ENSBIXG00005013352.1)". The record is from RNAcentral. Lineage: Eukaryota; Metazoa; Chordata; Mammalia; Artiodactyla; Bovidae.
GUUAUUUCCAAGGUCCUUAUUGGCUGACGAAUGCAGCUCAGCCUUGUUCUUUUCUAUUCUCUUAAAGUAUUCUUUGAGGAGAGUUUUCACAUGAGGAAAGUGCUUCAGAGAGGAAAAUAUGUCAGGACUGAAAUAAAUACUGUAUGGACAAAUGGAUGGAACUGAUAAAACAAACAAACAAACAAAAAACUGAACAAAAUGGAAGGAAAUCACUGGGAGAUAUUUCCGAAGAAUCUCAUGGCCCUGGUUCCCACGAGCAUGUCACUAACCAUUUCCUGGGCCUUAUCACCGGGAGGAAAAAAAGGAGCGCCUUUGAAAAGUGGAAACAAAACAUCAGGCCCCAUUGUUGUGUGACUUCCCCGGCCACAAUCUGGGCUCUCCAUCGCUCUACACGCGGAGACUACAAACACGCCCUAAUACAGAUACUCCAAUCGGCAAUUUGACCAGGACAUUUAUUGUUCUGUAUCUGCAAUCUCUGCUGCGUGUUUGUGGCUUUUAAAUCAUCUGUUUUUUUUUUUUUUAUUACUCUUUCCAGGCUCAGAGCAAGUCAAAAGCCUCUGAUGGCGGUCAACACCGAGAGAAGCGACUGAGUCAGUUUGCAAACUCCUGUGUGCCUUCUUGUGGGGAGUUCACAGUGGAGGAGGCAGCCUUGCUCACCUUUUUCUGUCUUUUCAACUUCACUCUGUCCUCUUGUUCCCCUUCCCCAGCUCUAGACCCUCUUUUCCUCCUCUCGUUUCACCUUCUCUCUUUCUUCAGUUCUGCCUUGGUCUGUCCCUCUUUGAUUCAUUUGUCAACUCUUGCUCCUACUUAAAGGAUUGGC